Meloidogyne enterolobii is the source of this 148-nucleotide non-coding RNA. NCBI's taxonomy places the organism in Eukaryota, Metazoa, Nematoda, Chromadorea, Rhabditida, Meloidogynidae. The record is from the annotation of a GenBank genome assembly.
AAAAAACUGGUUGAGUGGUAGAGCCUUACACUUAAAUUUAAAUUUAGCAAAAGGCAAAAAUCAAAAUAUUAUAGCAAAAACUUGUUUAUGUACUUUAUUAGUUGUUUUCCAUAUUUUAAAGGUAAAAGUUCAAUUUUAAUGUUUUUUU